GUGAAGCGGCAACAGCUCAAAUUUGAAAUCUGGCUCUUUUAGAGUCCGAGUUGUAAUUUGCAGAGGGCGCUUUGGCGUUGGCAGCGGUCCAAGUUCUUUGGAACAGGACGUCACAGAGGGUGAGAAUCCCGUACGUGGUCGCUAGCCUUCGCCGUGUAAAGCCCCUUCGACGAGUCGAGUUGUUUGGGAAUGCAGCUCUAAAUGGGAGGUAAAUUUCUUCUAAAGCUAAAUACUGGCCAGAGACCGAUAGCGCACAAGUAGAGUGAUCGAAAGAUGAAAAGCACUUUGGAAAGAGAGUCAAAUAGCACGUGAAAUUGUUGAAAGGGAAGCGCUUGCAGCCAGACUUGCCUGUAGUUGCUUAUCCGGACUUUUGUCCGGUGCACUCUUCUGCGGGCAGGCCAGCAUCAGUUUAGGCGGUUGGAUAAAGGUCUCUAUCACGUACCUCCCUUCGGGGUUGGCCUUAUAGGGGAGACGACAUGCAACCAGCCUGAACUGAGGUCCGCGCAUCUGCUAGGAUGCUGGCGUAAUGGCUGUAAGCGGCCCGUCUUGAAACACGGACCAAGGAGUCUAACAUCUAUGCGAGUGUUUGGGUGUCAAGCCCAGACGCGUAAUGAAAGUGAACGGAGGUGGGAACCUUUUAGGUGCACCAUCGACCGAUCCUGAUGUCUUCGGAUGGAUUUGAGUAAGAGCAUGGCUGUUGGGACCCGAAAGAUGGUGAACUAUGCUUGAAUAGGGUGAAGCCAGAGGAAACUCUGGUGGAGGCUCGCAGCGGUUCUGACGUGCAAAUCGAUCGUCAAAUUUGGGCAUAGGGGCGAAAGACUAAUCGA
RNAcentral lists this ribosomal RNA (827 nucleotides) under Septoria arundinacea. RNAcentral's name for it is "LSU rRNA". It matches the Rfam family "Eukaryotic large subunit ribosomal RNA", at positions 93 to 938 of the family's 3401-position model. Lineage: Eukaryota; Fungi; Ascomycota; Dothideomycetes; Mycosphaerellales; Mycosphaerellaceae. The record is from RNAcentral.